AGCUGUGGGAGGUUUCAGGUGCUUUCAUUUUCAAAAGAAGUCAAGCACAUAUUAUGCUUGGAACAAGCCUAGCUUUCUAAUGAAAAGAGACUGCAACUGAAUCAUCAAACAAAUAUAAACAAAUAGAUCAAUAAAUGUGCAUGCAUACACGUGUUCACAGAGGACAAUUUGAAGGUGAAACAUGAAAUGAGAGCGCGCACGGAGGUGCCAGCCAUGAGAUGUGCAGAGGCCAAGAGCGCAGGGCCAGGGUCAGGAGGAUGUGCAGUGGAGCCGGGUAAAUGUUACUGCCGCGCCCUAAGAAACGGGGAGGGGAGGGGGCAGGUCUGGAACCACCUAGGAGGCAGAUUUGGCUGAUUUGUUUCAGGAAUCCUUUCUGCCUUGUGAUUUAGGAGUUAACGUUUCCUUCUCCUCUUUCUGCUCCUCCUUCCUCCAAUAAAGUGCGUGACCUUCAUCAGUGCACACACAGGUGGCACUGGCUCAGGGCCCAUCGAGGGCCAGUGUCCUGGGCCCUGCCAGGGCAUGUCUGU
Long non-coding RNA from Homo sapiens (human), 527 nucleotides. The record is from Ensembl. NCBI's taxonomy places the organism in Eukaryota, Metazoa, Chordata, Mammalia, Primates, Hominidae.